Molecule: non-coding RNA, 752 nt
Organism: Chlorocebus sabaeus (green monkey)
Lineage: Eukaryota; Metazoa; Chordata; Mammalia; Primates; Cercopithecidae
Source: RefSeq, a predicted model, not a curated record
AGGAAAUUCUAUUUGUCCACUGAUGUUUCUGAGUCCCUGCAAUAGUGCCUGGCACAUAGGUGCUCCAUAAAUAUUUGCUGAAAGAUUACAUAAAUAAAUGGAUGAAUGGAUAUGAGCAUCUCUCACUGGAGAGGGUCCAGAACUUUCAUUAGAUUUUCCAAGGUGUCUGUGACACAAAAAAGGGUAGGAACCAUUGACAUAGUAACCCAUCAAAAAGUUUGCUGGAAAUUCUUUGCUUGCCGGGAAGUCUGCCUAAUGAAGCAGGAGGUCCUGAGGGAUUUUUCUCCUUUUUUGAUUUGUGUCUUUCCAGAGAGCUAAUGCUGGCAGCUGUUGGGAUGUCCUCUUCCAGGACUGGUGAUGAGUUUCCUGGUAUCCAGCCCUGGCCGGACUGAGCCCUUCCAGCCUCUCAAUGCAAAAAUGGAUGAUAAAACUUUAAGAGGAGUGUGCAGCAUGUUGCAAGAUGUGAACAGAACACCAUAUAAGAUGUCAGGAGGCCUGGAUUCUAGACUUGUUUUGUUACUUCCAUUUUCUGUGCCUAGGUUUUUCUAACUGUAAGAUGAGGACAUUAGCCUAUGAUCUACAAUGCCCAUUCCAACUCAGAGAAUCUUUGCAUCUGGAGAUCUACAGCAGGGCUCUGCCUAGUGAUAUGUAUGAAGAAGCUUGGAAAUGGGGCUGGGUAGGAGCUGAGUAUGUAGAAUGUGGAAAGGCAUUCUAAACCAAAAGAAGAACACAAAUAAAGAUGAUGAAGCAGG